GGCGGCGUGGCCGAAUGGUUAGGCAGAGGCCUGCAAAGCCUUGCAAAGCGGUUCGAUUCCGCUCGCCGCCU
RNAcentral lists this transfer RNA (71 nucleotides) under Acidimicrobiaceae bacterium. Its description in RNAcentral is "tRNA-Cys". It matches the Rfam family "tRNA". Rfam says of the family: Transfer RNA (tRNA) molecules are approximately 80 nucleotides in length. Their secondary structure includes four short double-helical elements and three loops (D, anti-codon, and T loops). Further hydrogen bonds mediate the characteristic L-shaped molecular structure. tRNAs have two regions of fundamental functional importance: the anti-codon, which is responsible for specific mRNA codon recognition, and the 3' end, to which the tRNAs corresponding amino acid is attached (by aminoacyl-tRNA synthetases). tRNAs cope with the degeneracy of the genetic code in two manners: having more than one tRNA (with a specific anti-codon) for a particular amino acid; and 'wobble' base-pairing, i.e. permitting non-standard base-pairing at the 3rd anti-codon position. The record is from RNAcentral. Lineage: Bacteria; Bacillati; Actinomycetota; Acidimicrobiia; Acidimicrobiales; Acidimicrobiaceae.